UAGCAUUAUGUAUGCUCUUGAAAAUUAAUUGAAUGUAGUCAAAUCAUUUUAUUUUCAGAGGAGCAAUUCAUUUAUAUGUGUUGAUAAACAAGGGUGUGUUUGGGAUUGGAUGUGUGGGCUCACUGUGCUCUUCAUGACACUGUUCUUAUUUCAUUUUGUUAAGUUUUUGGACUAUUGUUUAACCUGUUUUUGAAGGUUGUAUUUUCAGAACCUCGUAGUUCGUAACCUAGUUAUUGCUGCAUACUUUAAAAAACUCUUCACAGUGUGCUUAUUUUAAUACUUUUCACUUAUGCUUUGAUGAUAUAAAGGAAUACUGUCAUUAAUCUAAUCACAUCCCUCCAACUCUUGUAAUUGCUGACAUGUAUUUUAAAAAAUUAAUAUCCAUGCAUCAGUGGUCAUCUGUGGUUGACUCAAUGAUAUUUCACAAACAGAACCAACCCUGUACCCAAUUCCUUUUGAAAUAACAGCACAUUGUCAGCCUGGCAGAUGGCUGCACCCAGUCAUCACCCUUAAGGGUGACUGAUAUUGUCACAUCUGACAUCUAAAUCUCUUCCCCCUUCUUUAGUUUCUAUAAAUGAAAUUAUAGCAUGAACUCUUUUGCUAUUUUGAUUUCUAAUACAUGUUGUUCAUCAGUUUAUUGGUGGUAUCUGUUGUUAAUGAUCAGCUAUUCCUAUUGGUGAUAGAACUUCACUGUGAAAUCAAAUUAUAUAAUGAUACUGAUGAAGUACAUGUUAGUGAUUUUCUAUUUGGCCCUGUAAGGAACAAUGCUGGUAUGUAUGUGCUUGAAUGUGUAUUAAUACUGUAACAGUUUCUCUUUAAUCUAUGCUCAUUUUUGAUAUUGUUGGAUCCUAUGUUUACAUGUGUUCAUAUUUGAGACAAUUUUCUAAAACCUGUGUAUUCAUUUCACACCCAACAGCAGGUGAUUAUAUUCAUUAUUUGCAUCCUUGUCCACAGGUGAUGUUUCCUGUCAUUUUUAUUGUACCAUCGGGUGACUGUGCAGCAGAACCAGGUGAGCGCUGACUUGGUGCUUAGUCUCCAGAGGAAGUCUAAGCCCUCUGCUUAAAAGGCCAUUCCGACUCGGUUUCUCAUUUUCGAGAAACUGUGUGGAUCCCAGCUAAGAAGAUAAAACCCAGAAAAUGAACAAAAGGCCUCUAUUUGACGUUGAACCUCCCAUUGAUGAGAUGCGAGCCAUAGUUAUUGGAAGAUUCAGAGUUUGAGCUCCGUUACCAAGACCUCAAGAAGUGAAUCCCCCAACACGGGGACAACUAAAAAAGAUGAAACAGGAAGCUGAAAAAAUUAUACAACAGACCGGACGGGCAACGCAAUGCUUCAAAUUUGUUCCUGGCUGUCAUUGCUGCUGUCACCGUGGGGGUAAUUUCUGCUAAUGGCAUUUAUCAUUCAUAUUGGGCUUAUACUCCUAAUCCCCUGAUCGAUCAAGUUAUCCAUUGGCUCUCCAAAACGGUCCCAAUAUGUUAAUGAUUCCAACUGGACUCCUGGUCCUUAUGAUACUUGUGGCCCCUUAAGGCCAGGAGAAGAGGGCAUGAAAAUUGAGAAUUAUAUGGUGGGAGUAGAGGGGGUAUCCAUUUGUAUUGGACAUGAAAACCAUUGCUUGAAAAUAUAACCAGCUGCAUGGUUAUCCAUUGUUAAAAUUGGUACCUAUAAAGAAUCAUAGAAAAAAUUAUUCCUUCUUCAAGCAUUCAGAUUCCACAAAAAAAAUUAAUUCAAGUGACAUAACAGAUCAUCCCCCGGAUUUGCCCAUCUGCACCCAACCAAUAGCUGCAAGAAUCAGUGAAUGGGUGCACUGGAUGAAUUGGCGGGUAGAAAUAGGUUGGGUUUUACUUAAUACCUCCUAUGGCAGCGUCAUUGAUUGGAGCCCUCGAGGUUCCGCCCAGACCAGAGGACAGAGGCAUGACCUGCGAUGGUGUAAACAUACUUAUGGCACUAGUCACACCAUUGUCACAUCUUCUAAUGAGACCAUUUAUUGGCGUGGAGGUGGGAUGUCUCCUCCUGCCCACAUUUACCUUUUGGGCCCCUGCAAUAUCACUUAAGGAAAAUUCCCUUGGCUUUAUGGGGUCUAAUAGCUUGGAAAGGCCAUACUCAGAAUUAUACUAUUACAAAAAACAAUUGAUUGAGUUUUACAAAAAAUGAGUCAUUAUAUUACAGCCUGUGUCUGAUUGCCCUUGUUAAUUAUUAUUGGUCACACAGUGUGGCGUUCAUCUCUCCUGUGUAAAUCAUUCAUUCUAUACUUGUAUUAAUAACUCUGUUCCUUUUUCCACAAAAGAUUGUCUUUAUAUUCUUAAGGCUAGAACAGAUCUCUGGCCUCCAGUUCAAUUACACCAAAAAUGGCAAGAUUCUCCAAGCAUGAUGCUUCUCCAAUAUACUAUUGACAAUCUUCUGAAAAGAACUAAAUGAAUGAUUGGAUUAAUCAUUGCAGUUAUCCUGGGGAUCAUAGCCAUAACUGCAACUGCUGCAACCGCUGGGGUCGCACUUCAGCAAAGUGUUCCGACUGUUGACUUUGUUAAUAAUUGGCAUUCUGAUUCAUCAAAAUUGUGGACUACCCAAAGACGAAUAGGUAGUGAAAUUAAUGCACAACUGACUGAUUUGCAACAGUUAUUAUGCUAUGAGAUCAAAUUGUUAGUUUGCAACAUCAAAUUUCUAUAAAAUGUUAUUGGGAUACAACUGGGUUUUGUGUUACUCCUGUACCUUAUAAUCAUACUUAUUUUCCAUGAAACAAUGUUAAAAGGCAUUUGUUAAAUCACGGCAAUAUGACUCAAGAAAUAUUACACCUUCAACAGCACAUUUCUGAUAAUUUCCAGGAACAAUUACAAGUAUUAAGUAGUUCUAAUUUAUUGGAAAGUAUUGCAGAUGGAAUAAGUAAUUUGAACGCAAUAAAAAACUUAAAAAU
Manis pentadactyla (Chinese pangolin) is the source of this 2905-nucleotide long non-coding RNA. RefSeq lists it as uncharacterized. The transcript is spliced from 3 exons. NCBI's taxonomy places the organism in Eukaryota, Metazoa, Chordata, Mammalia, Pholidota, Manidae. The record is from RefSeq and is a predicted model, not a curated record.